CGAACUUCCGUUAAUUGAUUAUGACGUACUUGUACUGAUUGAGAUUUUAACACGAAGUGAGUGGCGAACGGGUGAGUAACACGUGGGUAACCUGCCCAGAAGUAGGGGAUAACACCUGGAAACAGAUGCUAAUACCGUAUAACAGAGAAAACCGCAUGGUUUUCUUUUAAAAGAUGGCUCUGCUAUCACUUCUGGAUGGACCCGCGGCGUAUUAGCUAGUUGGUGAGGUAAAGGCUCACCAAGGCAGUGAUACGUAGCCGACCUGAGAGGGUAAUCGGCCACAUUGGGACUGAGACACGGCCCAGACUCCUACGGGAGGCAGCAGUAGGGAAUCUUCCACAAUGGACGCAAGUCUGAUGGAGCAACGCCGCGUGAGUGAAGAAGGGUUUCGGCUCGUAAAGCUCUGUUGUUAAAGAAGAACGUGGGUAAGAGUAACUGUUUACCCAGUGACGGUAUUUAACCAGAAAGCCACGGCUAACUACGUGCCAGCAGCCGCGGUAAUACGUAGGUGGCAAGCGUUAUCCGGAUUUAUUGGGCGUAAAGCGAGCGCAGGCGGUCUUUUAAGUCUAAUGUGAAAGCCUUCGGCUCAACCGAAGAAGUGCAUUGGAAACUGGGAGACUUGAGUGCAGAAGAGGACAGUGGAACUCCAUGUGUAGCGGUGAAAUGCGUAGAUAUAUGGAAGAACACCAGUGGCGAAGGCGGCUGUCUGGUCUGCAACUGACGCUGAGGCUCGAAAGCAUGGGUAGCGAACAGGAUUAGAUACCCUGGUAGUCCAUGCCGUAAACGAUGAUUACUAAGUGUUGGAGGGUUUCCGCCCUUCAGUGCUGCAGCUAACGCAUUAAGUAAUCCGCCUGGGGAGUACGACCGCAAGGUUGAAACUCAAAAGAAUUGACGGGGGCCCGCACAAGCGGUGGAGCAUGUGGUUUAAUUCGAAGCUACGCGAAGAACCUUACCAGGUCUUGACAUCUUCUGACAGUCUAAGAGAUUAGAGGUUCCCUUCGGGGACAAAUGACAGGUGUGCAUGGUUGUCGUCAGCUCGUGUCCNGNANGUUGGGUAAAGUCCNCAACGAGCGCAACCCUUAUUACUAGUUGCCAGCAUAAGUUGGGCNUCUA
This 1113-nucleotide ribosomal RNA is filed under the name bacterium. Its description in RNAcentral is "bacterial SSU rRNA". It matches the Rfam family "Bacterial small subunit ribosomal RNA", at positions 47 to 1142 of the family's 1533-position model. The record is from RNAcentral.